UUGAUUAUCUGGUUAUGUUGUGGCUUAUCUUAUGUAUGUGCAGGCCCUCAAUAAAACAGUGAUUAAUUGAAUAUUUGAAAUCUCUCAGAAACUCUGAGCUUCAUGUGCAGCACUUGAGCAGAAAACUUUGAUUAUUUAAAUUUCUUCAAAUUGUAAUAAAUCAAGCAUUUAGAUUUCCAGAGAAAAAGAGCAAUCCCAGUGAUAUGGUUUGACUAUGUCCCCACCCAAAUCUCAUCUUGAAUUGUAGCUCCCAUAAUCCACAUGUGUCGUGGGAGGUAACUGAAUCUUGGGGGUGGGUUUUUCCCGUGCUGUUCUCUAAUAGUGUAUAAGUGUCAUGAGAUCUGAUGGUUUUAUAAAGGACGGUUCCCAUACACAUGCUGUCUUGCCUGCCACCAAGUAAGAUGUGCCUUUGCUCUUCCUUCACCUUCCACCAUGAUUGAGGCACCCCCAGCCAUAUGGAGCUGUGAGACCAAUAAACCUCUUUCCUUUAUAAAUUACCCAGUCUUGGGUAUGUCUUUAUUAGCAUCAUGAGUAGGGACUAAUACACCCAGCUUCCAUCCUUUCCCUUGCAGCAGGAGAGACAGGGAUAUAUAUUUCCUGAUUAUGAGCACUUCUCAUUUCUUCUGAGCUGUGACAUCACUUUUAGUAAGGGACUGUCCUUCCCAGUGGAAUGCACUGGUGUUUGAGCAGGCAUACCCUCAUUUUGGAGACUUGUGAGGGGCAUGUGGCAGGAAGGAGUUUUAGUAAAUGAGGAAACAUCUCUGCACUAGCAGCUUUUACUUGUUGUGAACAAACUCAUUUUGAAGACCCCUUAUUCUCCUCUACCUCCUUCCUGAGUAUCCUGCUUAUCAUCUGGAGAUGAGAGAAGAUGGUUUUAGCAGAGACACUUUCAAGUUAGCAUUUCCUGGAGCCAGAGCAGAGACAGACAACUAGUGUUGCAUUAUGGAGGUAUAAGGAAAUGGGGUUGUUUCAAAAGCUAUAAAAGUUUCCUUUAUUGGCUUCUCUUUUUCACACUGGUUGUUUAAAUCUGAAUAUUUCCUAGCUUUUUGCAGAUGAUGAAAUAGGUAGAAAGAAAUGUUUAGCUAAUAAAGUGCAUGUUAUUAGGCAAGCUGCAUCAUCACUUUCUUCUAACAGGAUUUAACAGUCUGUUCUUUUUUUCAUUUUUAAAAAAUCCCUGCCACUAUUCCAGGGGUCAGAGGAUGCCACUCCUUCAGGGGUCAGUGCAUGUUUGUCUCCUGAUCGUGCCACAGGAAUGUGAUUGUAAUCUCAGCAUCAUGGUGGCCAUUCUCAACAGUCCCUCUUUCCUGGACAUGAUCCUCUUUCCCUGGGAUUUGUACAGAUAAAAGACUGUUUGGGCUGGGGGUGGUGGCUCACACCUGUAAUCCCAACACUUUGGGAGGCCAAGGCGAGUGGAUCACGAUGUCAGGAGAUUGAGACCAUCCUGGUUAACAGGGUGAAACUCCUCUUCUACUAAGAAAUACAAGAAAUUAGCCAGGUGUGGUGGUGGGUGCCUGUAGUCCCUGCUACUGGGGAGGCUGAGGCAGGAGAAUGGCAUGAACCCGGGAGGCGGAGCUUGCAGUGAGCCAAGAUAGUGCCACCGCACUCCAGCCAGGGCAACAGAGCCAGACUUCAUCUCAAAAAAAAAACAAAAAAA
Molecule: long non-coding RNA, 1654 nt
Filed under: Macaca fascicularis (crab-eating macaque)
Lineage: Eukaryota; Metazoa; Chordata; Mammalia; Primates; Cercopithecidae
Description: lncRNA (ENSMFAG00000054834.1)
Source: RNAcentral